Molecule: ribosomal RNA, 583 nt
Filed under: uncultured bacterium
Lineage: Bacteria
Description: bacterial SSU rRNA
Rfam family: Bacterial small subunit ribosomal RNA
Source: RNAcentral
AAUUCGAUUGAGUUUGAUCAUGGCUCAGGACGAACGCUGGCGGCGUGCUUAACACAUGCAAGUCGAACGGUGAUGAGGAGCUUGCUUCUCUGAUCAGUGGCGAACGGGUGAGUAACACGUGAGCAAUCUGCCCUUGACUCUGGGAUAAGCGUUGGAAACGACGUCUAAUACCGGAUACGACUCUUGGAGGCAUCUCUGGGGGUGGAAAGAAUUUUGGUCAAGGAUGAGCUCGCGGCCUAUCAGCUUGUUGGUGAGGUAAUGGCUCACCAAGGCGACGACGGGUAGCCGGCCUGAGAGGGUGACCGGCCACACUGGGACUGAGACACGGCCCAGACUCCUACGGGAGGCAGCAGUGGGGAAUAUUGCACAAUGGGCGAAAGCCUGAUGCAGCAACGCCGCGUGAGGGACGACGGCCUUCGGGUUGUAAACCUCUUUUAGUAGGGAAGAAGCGUAACAGUGACGGUACCUGCAGAAAAAGCACCGGCUAACUACGUGCCAGCAGCCGCGGUAAUACGUAGGGUGCAAGCGUUGUCCGGAAUUAUUGGGCGUAAAGAGCUCGUAGGCGGUUUGUCGCGUCUGCUGU